UACGGGGGAGGCAAGCGUUAAUCGGAUUUAUUGGGCGUAAAGGGCGCGUAGGCGGUUUCUUAAGUCAGGUGUUAAAGACCUCGGCUCACCCGUGGGGCUGCGCCUGAUACUGAGGGACUGGAGUGCAGCAGAGGCAAGCGGAAUUCCCGGUGUAGCGGUGAAAUGCAUAGAUAUCGGGAGGAACACCAGUGGCGAAGGCGGCUUGCUGGGCUGUAACUGACGCUGAGGCGCGAAAGCCAUGGGGGCGAACGGGAUUAGGUACCCCGGUAGUCCUGGCCGUAAACGUUGUGCACUAGGUGUGGGGGGGUAUCGACCCCUUCCGUGCCGCAGGUAACCCAUUAAGUGCACCGCCUGGGGAGUACGACCGCAAGGUUGAA
Molecule: ribosomal RNA, 377 nt
Filed under: uncultured bacterium
Lineage: Bacteria
Description: bacterial SSU rRNA
Rfam family: Bacterial small subunit ribosomal RNA
Source: RNAcentral